GGGUGAUCAAGCGUCGAAACCGAAGGCGAUUAAAUGGACCCCAAUCGAAGAAGAAGCCUUAGCCAAGGCUUUCAUUGGCACUUCCGACAACCCGGUAAAAGGUAAUAACCAACCGGGUGACGGGUUUUGGUCCAAGGUAUUGACCAAGUUUCUCGCCAUGAUGGACCAAGGCCCGUAUAGAGAUAUCGACUCGGUUUCCUCGAAGUGGCGAAAAUUGAACUCGGCCAUUAAUCGGUUUUGCGAGGAGUAUAACAAAUUAUAUACAAGUGACCGUCGUAGCGGGUGGAACGACGAGGAUGUGUUCAAAAUGGCAUUGGAAAAGUAUAAGCAAAAUCAUGGUUCCAACUUUCCUCACGUUCGCGCGUGGAUGGUUGUAAAA
This is an RNA transcript of Helianthus annuus (common sunflower), 379 nucleotides long. RefSeq lists it as uncharacterized. NCBI's taxonomy places the organism in Eukaryota, Viridiplantae, Streptophyta, Magnoliopsida, Asterales, Asteraceae. The transcript is spliced from 2 exons. The record is from RefSeq and is a predicted model, not a curated record.